GAAAUUUAUUUGGUUAAUAUUAGUUUGGAUGCAGGAAAGAAAGAUGUCAUGUCAGUUUCUGCCCUUAUUCGUCUCCAAUGCAUCCCUAUUCAUUCUCUGUGCGUCGGUGUGGCUAUCUUCUCCUAUUUCUUUUUUCCUUCAAAGGAAUUUUUUCCAUUUUAUUCUUUCAAAAGGCAAGGCUAAGCCAUCCGCCCUUCAUUGCAGGGGAAAAGGGGACACGGUUCCCAAGGGGUGGCUAGUUCUAGUAACAGAGACGGAUACAGAUAAGGUCCUUUUUCUGAGAGACCCGCUCUUGACUUUAAUCAUACCCACUAGUAAGCGCAGUGGAUGCUCCUUCAUACAGGGACAGAGAGGCGAGUGAUGGGCACUACUCAUCAUAAGAAGAAAGCAGUCAUGCAGAUAGAAAGGGUAAAACAAUGACUCUGACUAAGUAAAGAGAUUUGGUUUUUUUAUCAUAUAUUUUUCAUACCACAGCUCUAGACUUGCCCCUAUUCAAAGUUUCAUUCAUACCACCCUUGUGGGUUGUUCGCAAUUCACAUGAAAGACCGGUUGAGUACCUUGGCCCGGGUAGGUGGUGCUGAGUUCCGUGUCCUUGGCAGGCUCGACCAUCGGAGAUCCGUUCAUUACGAACGUUUUUUCUCGAUAUGGACCAAGCUCCGACUUCCUUUUUAGCUUUGGCUCGGAAGAGGUCGAGAUCUCCACCAACCAAUAAAAUUGGGGAGUGCAUAAAAAGCACCUCAUUCAUUGAUGGGAGAGUCCCCACCGGUCAGCGAUUUGGUUUUAUGCAUUACACAAGGUGUUUUUUUCGGACGAGUACUAAUUGAAUUGGGUACGCGCCUAACUCAGCUAAGCUAAUAAAUGCUGCAUAAGAGAGUGGGAGGCCGGCCCCCGCCCAUCUGGAGGUGCACACCCUUUUAGGAACAUAUGCAAAGGGGUAAAGAGAGAAGUCAAUGGAGAACUACCAAAUUCGGAUUCGGAACCAAUGACUUUGAUUUGUUCGUACAGGUUACGCGGUGGAUCUUAUAAGGCCUACUCACGUCAAGGUCUUCCGGCAUCUAAACGUUGGAAGCGCCUUUAUCUCUUAAUGUUUUCGCCGACUGGCAUACUUCCUUUACCAUUGAAGUUUUGGUUAGCAUUUCCAGAUUUGGGAGUGUUGACUGCAGAGCAGUAUGGAAUGGUAAGGGCGUUUAUCAUGGAGCGUGUACGUCCAUCAAACUUCAAUGAAGUUGAAAUUGAUCGGAUUCGUACUUUCUAUGGUGACGAUGCAGAUUGCAUGUUUCAAAGACUUUUGAAAGAUGGAUGGAGUAUCAUCUCCGAUAUCUGCAUUGGUAUGCUACUGCAUGGUUGGACUACUAGAACAACGACACUACUGCAAGCUUAAGAAUAGAGUCGUGUGAGUGCAUGGUUGGUCCUGAACCAGAGAUGAGGUAAGGAUAUGUAUACCUGGGCGAAACUUUUUGGGUUUAUGAGUUGUCCGACUCAUUCGAAAGCGUUGAAUGCAUAAUGAUGAAAGACAAGGGACUGGAACUGAUUGCUGAGAAGGGAUCUUGUUCAGCGAGCAGCAGAUUCAGCGGUUUUUUCUAGGGGGACAGCGCCAGAACCGGGCGAGAAAGAUUUCUAAACUAUCCGUUGUGUUAGCAAAUCAUACGAGUAAUAGUUGUUUAGCUCUGAGUCCAUGAUUAGUCAGCAGAAAGAAGAAAGCUAUCUCCAUUAGUUGUCAUCUCCUACUAGUAGCCAUCUCCAUCCACUACCCCCUCGAUGACCGAUCCCUAAUUCCUCCUAUAAAAAUACCUUACCUAUCCCCUUCCGAAUUAAAAACCCCUCUUGCAACUCACCGAAGAAAGAAAGGGCCUUUAACUUUGGGCAAUCAUUCUUUAACGUUUGAAUGCAUCAAUUCAAUAAGGUCUUUAGUUAGGGUAUUUCCCAACAUCUUUGUGAAACGAUGAAUUGAUUUGAUUGCUGUCAUAAGCAUUGUAAGAACUGGUUUAUGAUACCCUUUAUAUUAAGAUGACAUGAUAUUAAAUACCCCAUACAAUAAUGUAAAGGCUGCUUUGAUUGAGUUAGCCUUGCUUUCUUCUUUCUUGCUUUGCUUCAUGCUGGAACGAGUGCUUACAGAGCACCUCUUCAUAACUCUAUUCCCUAAGAACUACAUUAAUGGGUUGGUUGCUUAGCAGCUGUGAACAAGACAAUAUAAGUUCUCUCUCUGAUCUUAAUCAGACUUUUCUGCUUGAUGGAAUAGAUCAUCUUAUAACCCGUUGAAUAACUUCAGGCUUUAAGAAGAUAAUGUGAGACCUACUAUUAGCCCCGAUGUGAGAGUGUCCUUAGCUCCUGGAAAGAAAGAAAUUCCUUCCUCUCUCCUUUAACUCGACUAACUUCUAUCCUUAUGCCCUUACACGAGACGCAGAUAGCGAGCAGACAGCUAGAUUCUUACUGAUAAAACCACCUUUAUUUUUCUUCAUAUGGAAGAUUCCUCCAUCCACAUGAGUACAAUAAAUGGCAUUUUAAGGCUAUAUAGAUAAAAUAGAAAGAAAGAACUUAUUAUUUAAUGUUAAAAGAGGGAGUCGAUUCACGUACUUCACCAUUUCCUGGCUCGUUAUAGCCUUUCCCCGGUUCGGAAUCGGAAGAAGGCUAUGGCUUAUCCGGAGCUACUAAGGACACAACCAAUCAAACGAUCGGUAAAACGGGUCUCCUUUGGUACAAUCUCCUCGGCCGAGUAUAUCCCGUACGGUUGUUUUCAAAAAGUAGUGCAAUAGCAUUCUAUGAACGAAUUCCUUCAUAGCCCUCAUAGAUAGAGUAGAGAGAAAUGGGAGAAAGCGGAUUAGCCACGUUCUAAGUCUUCGCCAUCUGACUAUCAUAAGAGUCAUUUCAUCCCAGAGUCUCUGGCUGAGGGAUAUCUAGUUUAAGUGCCAGUUGCCAUUGAUCUUCUUGGAGAAAAAAUGGCAUUUAUUUCCCUGCCAGUUUCCUUUGCUGUCGAUGCAGGCGAGUUGGGCCUAUUCUCGUCUCGAAUAAGAGAGUACCUGUUUUAUAACAUAUAAUCUUUCCUGUUUUAUAACAUAUUUCUUUCCUGUACUAGGAUACGAUAUACAAGACUCCUUUUAUUUUCCAGUACUAUUAUAAGCCCCUAUAACCAGGGAGUUUGGGAGUUUAACUAGAACCUAGAUAGAAUCUCCGGAAUCAGAAGCUGCUAUCUCUCGCUAUGCUUUUAUGAGUGGAUUUGAGAGCGCGGCAUAGCUGGAAACUCCUGAAUUUUAGGAAGGUUCUAACCUUAAUGAAAAGGUAAGUUUGAAGAGAGAUUGGGAAAAGUUCCCGAGUGUGAGUAUCCAACCCCUUUUGAAAGGAUCUUUCUGCUUUUGACUUUCCUAAUAUGUGUGUACAUAUUGAUUGUAUCAGUACUACCAGCGAGCUAAGAGCUAACCCCUUUCUUUUCCUAUGGCCUUUUAUUUUUAUACUCACCCCUGAAGAAAUAGAGAUAGAGAGAAUCUAUUAUAUUAGGAAGGCGGAAAGAAGCACUGGCUAAGACUUUCAUGGAGAUGGGGCAUACAGGGCAAGUGUACUAGCAUAUGACUUUCCAUUGAAUUAAGGUUUGUCAAAGCCUAAGCUGCUACUUAGAAAGGGGUUAGCUCUUAGCGGGUAAGGCAAAAGAAAAGGUGUCUGCCGUCACUACUGCCACUUGACUUUAGGAUAAGGUUUUUGCUUCGAGCAGCUCUCGGGCAUUGAUUGAGGAAGUAGCCCAACCUUUUUUCAUCUACGCAAAAAGGAAUUACUUCUUCUUCGUCCGAAUUCGAGGAAAUGGUGCAUCUAGAUCGAUUCCUAAGGCUGGUAAUGCCGAAUCAAUCAAGGAUAAGGCAAUACAGUCAGAAAGGAAAGCCAAAGCAAAGAAAAGAGAAUGAGCCCGUCCCAGCCCAGAAGGCGGCGGAGAAGUCAAGUUAGUAAUUAAGGCGCCUUGCAGUUUCGGAAUAAGAGCCUCGCCCAUACCCAGCAAAUCAAAGAAGAAAAAAGUAAAUAGGGGUAAAGGAGAAGGAAAGUCAUGAGAGAGUGGCUAAGUGCUAGUUUUAUUUUCUUCAUAUUCAUAUUACAGUUAGCGCUUUUUCUUUUAAGAAUGCAUCUGGUUCUAUUAAUGAUGUAAAAGAUCAAUGAAAUAAUCAAUUGAUAUUCUCAGUAUGUGAUGUUGAAAUUGUCUUCUUAUUAACGUGAUAGUGGAAUUCC
RNAcentral lists this long non-coding RNA (4206 nucleotides) under Lupinus mutabilis. RNAcentral describes it as "partial ncRNA". Lineage: Eukaryota; Viridiplantae; Streptophyta; Magnoliopsida; Fabales; Fabaceae. The record is from RNAcentral.